AUAUUUAAAUUAAUAAAAUUAUUAAAUGUAGUAAAGUUUGAAUAAUUUUUUAAUUAUUAAAUAAAAAUUAAAAUUUAGUUUAAUAAUUAAUUUUAAUAAUAAUAUUUAUAUAAAUUAUAAUUAAAUUAAUGAAAUUAUAAAAUGUAAAAUUAAAAAAUAAUUAUGUGCCAGCAUUUGCGGUUAUACAUAAUAAAUAAAUUAAUUUAUUUAAUUUUUAAUAAUUAUAAUUUUAUAGAAUAUACAUAUAUAAUAAAUAAUUUAUUUUAGUGAAAUAAUAAAAAUUAUUAUUUUAUAUAAAUAUAAAUAAUUAAUUAAAUUAAAAUAAUAAAAUAGGAUUAGAUACCCUAGUAUUUUUAAUUAAAUUUUAUAUUAGAGUAUUAAAUGAUUUAUCAUUAAAUUAAAAAAUUUUGGCAGUAUUUUUUAUAAUUAGAGGAACUUGUUUAUUAAUUGAUAAUCCACGAUAGGAUUUACUUAUUUUUUAUAAUUUAUAUUUAUAUAUUUUCGUUUAAAAUUUAAUUUUUUAGAAUAAAAUUUAAUGUUAUUAUUAAACAUAAAUUCAGAUCAAUAUGUAGUUAUAGAUAAGAUUAAAUUAGUUACAAUAAAUAUUUAUUUAUAAUUGGAAAUUUAUUAUUAAUUAUUAGAUUUAAAAUGGAUUUAAAAGUAAAUUAUUAUAAUUAUUUUGAUUGAAUUUUAUAAAAAUAUGUACAAAUUGCCCGUCAUUCUAUUAGAUAAUAGACAAGUCGUAACAAGGUAAAUGUACUGGAAAGUGUAUUUAUUUUAUUAUU
This 785-nucleotide non-coding RNA is filed under the name Conostigmus sp. MM-2013. Lineage: Eukaryota; Metazoa; Arthropoda; Insecta; Hymenoptera; Megaspilidae. The record is from RNAcentral.